GAUGAACGCUGGCGGCGUGCCUAAUACAUGCAAGUCGAGCGAACAGACGAGGAGCUUGCUCCUCUGACGUUAGCGGCGGACGGGUGAGUAACACGUGGAUAACCUACUUAUAAGACUGGGAUAACUUCGGGAAACCGGAGCUAAUACCGGAUAACAUGUUGAACCGCAUGGUUCAACAGUGAAAGACGGUCUUGCUGUCACUUAUAGACGGAUCCGCGCCGCAUUAGCUAGUUGGUAAGGUAACGGCUUACCAAGGCAACGAUGCGUAGCCGACCUGAGAGGGUGAUCGGCCACACUGGAACUGAGACACGGUCCAGACUCCUACGGGAGGCAGCAGUAGGGAAUCUUCCGCAAUGGGCGAAAGCCUGACGGAGCAACGCCGCGUGAGUGAAGAAGGUCUUCGGAUCGUAAAACUCUGUUAUUAGGGAAGAACAAAUGUGUAAGUAACUAUGCACGUCUUGACGGUACCUAAUCAGAAAGCCACGGCUAACUACGUG
This 497-nucleotide ribosomal RNA is filed under the name uncultured bacterium. Its description in RNAcentral is "partial 16S ribosomal RNA". It matches the Rfam family "Bacterial small subunit ribosomal RNA", at positions 28 to 507 of the family's 1533-position model. The record is from RNAcentral.